This 216-nucleotide long non-coding RNA is filed under the name Brassica napus (rape). RNAcentral describes it as "long non-coding RNA (BNAP_LNC021142)". The record is from RNAcentral. Lineage: Eukaryota; Viridiplantae; Streptophyta; Magnoliopsida; Brassicales; Brassicaceae.
GGCGAUCUUGGCGAUGGCGGCCUGAGAAUCUGAUCGUCUUCUAUUCGAUUCACCAUUUAGUGAUUGAUUAGUCUCGCACACCAGAUCGAUCAUUGUCGUUUGGUUGUGACGAUCCCGUUCUCCACCCCAAGCAAUCUCGAUACUUUAUUCACUACGUUUUCCUUAUAUCAGAUCGAUCAUUGUCGUCUGGUAGUGAUCAUCCCGCUCUCCAAAGCA